Long non-coding RNA from Poecilia latipinna (sailfin molly), 1850 nucleotides. RefSeq lists it as uncharacterized. The transcript is spliced from 4 exons. NCBI's taxonomy places the organism in Eukaryota, Metazoa, Chordata, Actinopteri, Cyprinodontiformes, Poeciliidae. The record is from RefSeq and is a predicted model, not a curated record.
AAGUACCACGAAUUCCUCUACAACAUCUGUAAAUUAAUCCAGCCUACAGUUUUCAACAUUGAUGUGACUUGCACGACAAUUGAGGAGUUUAAGAUCCUUGCUUUUACUUUACCUGGCAGAGUGGACACUCUUUAUUAUGAUGAUCAUUUAAAUGCAUAAGAGGAUUUGUUUUAUGUUCUUCCAAUUAAGGACUUGGUUUAUUACAGUCCCUGUGGCAAGCAGUUUUCUGCAUGGUCAGCAUUGAAGGCCAUAUUGUCUUUGAGAGGGUCCAGCCAACAUUCCAGGCUGGACAGUGUUGUCCAUCUUCUUCAUCUUCAACCUCCAAUAUCAACAUGAGGCAGCCAAGACUUUGGAGUUCAUUCAACAUCGCUUCAUUGGGAUUAACCCAGAAAGGGGCACAAAAGCUGGUCAUGGGAAGAUGGUAUCCAAAAAGACAAGAAAGACCAUUCAAAAGAAAAAGUGACGGUCAAUGUUCAGGUUUCCACCCUCAUCAAAAACCUGAUGGACUUUGAGUGGCAUCUCAUUCAGUAAGUGCCACUUGGACUCUUGAAAACCAUUAAUAGUUCACAUUUUAAAACCCUGUUAAUACUAGAAUUCCACAUUAUUUCAGCCAUGUUGAAUUUUAGAUUUUGGAAGUCAUUUUUCUUUGAUUUGUUUAGUGAUACCCAAAGCAUGGAUAUUUCUUUAAGAACUGUGUUUUUAUGUUCAUAAGAUUGUAGAAAUUAAUGAGUUAAACCCAGUUUAUGUCACUGUAAACUGAAAGUCUUCAAUUUUUAUUCCAGUGUUGGUGAAACUAUAUAUUGACUUUGAAGGCCUAUUUUAUACCAGUUCUCUGAGGAAUGGUUUUGUGUUAUUUGUUUUGAAUGUUUGAAUAUACUGGAAAUAUAUGUGGUUUGAGGCAUGUGAUGCCUUUAAAUAAAAAUUCUGUUCUGACGGUUACUUAUCACAUCCUCUUUUGUGUUGUGUGAAGUUCUGAUUAUGCAGAUUAUGCAUUUUAGAACCGCACCAAUUGUACCACUUCUAAGAAGCCUACACUGGGUCAGGUAUUAAUGUUCUAUCGUAAAACUAAGACUGUACUUUAAAAAGUAGCAUUACAGUUUUCUUGGCAGUAGUUUACUCAUAAAGUGAAUGCAGUAGUAAAACUAAAUUUACAGUAAAAAUACUGGAACCUACAGAUGCCAGUAUUUGAAGGUAUAUUUACUUUCACCACUGUAUUUUACGGUGGCCAACAGAUCUCAGGUAAGACAAUACAGUUUAAUCAAACUAUUGUAUUUUUAGGCUUAACUUUAAUCAGUCAAACCGAUUUGCUCAGGAAUAAAUGAAAUAUUUUAGUGAACCAAAAUAUUACAACUAGAUGUUACCUGACUUAAUAUCUGUGUUUAACUGUCAUUUAGGAAAGCCCAAAUGAGUCAGGUGUUCUCCCGUGGUAUACUAAACCUGGACCAGCAGGCAGCAGGCGAGGGGAGCUGGGUGUUAAUGCAGCGGGAGCAGACAUUUCCGAAAACGUCGGAGCAAUAUUGCAAUUAGGUGAUGCACUGAUGAACCGAGUAGAAAUGUGAGAUUUAUACAUCUACAUUCUCGCCUACAAACAUUGUUUAAAUCAUGUUGUGUCACGGUUGCUAAGCAACAUAACGCCUUGGUGGAGGCUAGGCAGCUAGCUAAAGGCUACAGCUUCUCUCUGCAAUGCUCUCUGCCUUCGCAGAGAGCACAUGUGGGCCUCUUCCGUAGACCGGGUCGUUUCUCAAGCCCACGAAAGAAUAAGCUUGAAAGGAUGCAGACCCUGAAUUCGGACACAAAGCUCUAGUGGUCUGAAACACUUAUUUUUAUAUAUUUUUUGCAUGUCUUUUUUG